GACGAACGCUGGCGGCGUGCUUAACACAUGCAAGUCGAGCGGUAAGGCCCUUUCGGGGGUACACGAGCGGCGAACGGGUGAGUAACACGUGGGUGACCUGCCCUCAGCUCUGGGAUGAGCCCGGGAAACUGGGUCUAAUACCGGAUAUGACUCCAUGACGCAUGUUGUGGGGUGGAAAGCCUUGUGCGGCUGAGGAUGGGCCCGCGGCCUAUCAGCUUGUUGGUGGGGUGANGGCCUACCAAGGCGACGACGGGUAGCCGGCCUGAGAGGGCGACCGGCCACACUGGGACUGAGACACGGCCCAGACUCCUACGGGAGGCAGCAGUGGGGAAUCUUGCGCAAUGGGCGAAAGCCUGACGCAGCGACGCCGCGUGAGGGAUGACGGCCUCGGUGU
RNAcentral lists this ribosomal RNA (394 nucleotides) under uncultured bacterium. Its description in RNAcentral is "bacterial SSU rRNA". It matches the Rfam family "Bacterial small subunit ribosomal RNA", at positions 28 to 423 of the family's 1533-position model. The record is from RNAcentral.